UACGGAGGGUGCAAGCGUUAAUCGGAAUCAUUGGGCGUAAAGGGCGCGCAGGCGGUCCGGCAAGUCCGACGUGAAAUCCCGGGGCUCAACCCCGGAACUGCGUUGGAAACUGUCGGACUUGAGUGUGAGAGAGGUCCGUGGAAUUCCGGGUGUAGGGGUGAAAUCCGUAGAUAUCCGGAGGAACACCAGCGGCGAUAGCGACGGACUGGAUCACAACUGACGCCGAGGCGCGAAAGCGUGGGGAGCGAACAGG
This 253-nucleotide unclassified non-coding RNA is filed under the name uncultured Bradymonadales bacterium. Its description in RNAcentral is "contains 16S-23S intergenic spacer region". It matches the Rfam family "Bacterial small subunit ribosomal RNA", at positions 524 to 776 of the family's 1533-position model. Lineage: Bacteria; Deltaproteobacteria; Bradymonadales. The record is from RNAcentral.